Molecule: ribosomal RNA, 396 nt
Filed under: uncultured bacterium
Lineage: Bacteria
Description: partial 16S ribosomal RNA
Rfam family: Bacterial small subunit ribosomal RNA
Source: RNAcentral
CCUACGGGUGGCAGCAGUGAGGAAUAUUGGUCAAUGGGCGGAAGUCUGAACCAGCCAUGCCGCGUGCGGGAAGACGGUUCUGUGUGUUGUAAACUUCUUUUGUACGAGGGCAAAGCUGAGUACUUGUAUUCAGCUGAAGGUACUUGACGAAUAAGGAUCGGCUAACUCCGUGCCAGCAGCCGCGGUAAUACGGAGGAUCCAAGCGUUAUCCGGAUUUAUUGGGUUUAAAGGGUGCGUAGAUGGGUUGUUAAGUCAGUGGUGAAAGUUUGCGGCUCAACCGUCAGAUAGCAAUUGAUACUGGCAGCCUGGAGUACGGUUGAAGUAGGCGGAAUGCGUGGUGUAGCGGUGAAAUGCUUAGAUAUCACGCAGAACCCCGAUUGCGAAGGCAGCCUACCA